AAACAGCGGUCGCGUCAUUGGUGAUUCAUAAUAACUUCUCGAAUCGCACGGCUUGUUGGCUGGCGAUGCUUCAUUCAAAUAUCUGCCCUAUCAACUUUCGAUGGUAGGAUAGUGGCCUACCAUGGUUUCAACGGGUAACGGGGAAUAAGGGUUCGAUUCCGGAGAGGGAGCCUGAGAAACGGCUACCACAUCCAAGGAAGGCAGCAGGCGCGCAAAUUACCCAAUCCCGACACGGGGAGGUAGUGACAAUAAAUAACAAUAUAGGGCUCUUUCGGGUCUUAUAAUUGGAAUGAGUACAAUUUAAAUCCCUUAACGAGGAACAAUUGGAGGGCAAGUCUGGUGCCAGCAGCCGCGGUAAUUCCAGCUCCAAUAGCGUAUAUUAAAGUUGUUGCAGUUAAAAAGCUCGUAGUUGAACUUCAGACCUGACCGGGCGGUCCGCCUAACGGUGUGUACUGUCUGGCCGGGCCUUACCUCUUGGUGAGCCGGCAUGCCCUUCACUGGGUGUGUCGGGGAACCAGGACCUUUACCUUGAGAAAAUUAGAGUGUUCAAAGCAGGCUUACGCCGGAAUACAUUAGCAUGGAAUAAUAAAAUACGGACGUGCGGUUCUAAUAGUGGUUUCUAGAGUCGCCGUAAUGAUUAUAGGGAUAGUUGGGGCAUUUGUAUUGGUUGGUAGAAGGUGAAUUCUUGGAUUUACGCAAGACAAAAUAUUGGGAAAGCAUUUGCCAAGGAUGGUUCAUUAAUCAAGACGAAGGUAAGGGG
This 760-nucleotide ribosomal RNA is filed under the name uncultured fungus. RNAcentral's name for it is "SSU rRNA". It matches the Rfam family "Eukaryotic small subunit ribosomal RNA", at positions 224 to 996 of the family's 1831-position model. The record is from RNAcentral. Lineage: Eukaryota; Fungi.